This 401-nucleotide ribosomal RNA is filed under the name uncultured bacterium. Its description in RNAcentral is "bacterial SSU rRNA". It matches the Rfam family "Bacterial small subunit ribosomal RNA", at positions 355 to 773 of the family's 1533-position model. The record is from RNAcentral.
UCGGGAAUUUUGCGCAAUGGACGAAAGUCUGACGCAGCAACGCCGCGUGAGGGAUGACGGCCUUCGGGUUGUAAACCUCUUUUCUCAGGGAAAAUGAUGACGGUACCUGAGGAAUAAGCCACGGCUAACUACGUGCCAGCAGCCGCGGUAAUACGUAGGUGGCAAGCGUUGUCCGGAUUUACUGGGCGUAAAGAGCGCGCAGGCGGUCGUUCAAGUCGCGUGUGAAAGCCCCCGGCUCAACUGGGGAGGGUCACGCGAUACUGAUCGACUCGAAGGCAGGAGAGGGUAGUGGAAUUCCCGGUGUAGUGGUGAAAUGCGUAGAUAUCAGGAGGAACACCGGUGGCGAAGGCGCUCAUCUGGCCCAAUACUGACGCUGAGGCGCGAAAGCUAGGGGAGCAAAC